RNAcentral lists this ribosomal RNA (524 nucleotides) under uncultured bacterium. Its description in RNAcentral is "partial 16S ribosomal RNA". It matches the Rfam family "Bacterial small subunit ribosomal RNA", at positions 28 to 523 of the family's 1533-position model. The record is from RNAcentral.
GACGAACGCUGGCGGCGUGCCUAAUACAUGCAAGUCGAGCGCAGGAAAUCGACGGAACCCUUCGGGGGGAAGUCGACGGAAUGAGCGGCGGACGGGUGAGUAACACGUAAAGAACCUGCCCUCAGGUCUGGGAUAACCACGAGAAAUCGGGGCUAAUACCGGAUGGGUCAUCGGACCGCAUGGUCCGAGGAUGAAAGGCGCUUCGGCGGCGCCUGGGGAGGGCUUUGCGGGGCAUUAGCUAGUUGGUGGGGUAAUGGCCCACCAAGGCGACGAUGCAUAGCCGACCUGAGAGGGUGAUCGGCCACACUGGGACUGAGACACGGCCCAGACUCCUACGGGAGGCAGCAGUAGGGAAUCUUCCACAAUGGACGAAAGUCUGAUGGAGCAACGCCGCGUGAACGAUGAAGGCCUUCGGGUCGUAAAGUUCUGUUGUAAGGGAAGAACAAGUGCCGCAGGCAAUGGCGGCACCUUGACGGUACCUUGCGAGAAAGCCACGGCUAACUACGUGCCAGCCGCCGCCGUAA